GAGUUUGAUCAUGGCUCAGAGUGAACGCUGGCGGCAGGCCUAAUACAUGCAAGUCGAACGGCAGCACAGGGGAGCUUGCUCCCUGGGUGGCGAGUGGCGGACGGGUGAGGAAUACGUGGGAAUCUGCCCAGUCGUGGGGGAUAACGUAGGGAAACUUACGCUAAUACCGCAUGCGCCCUUCGGGGGAAAGCCGGGGACCUUCGGGCCUGGCGCGAUUGGAUGAGCCCACGUCGGAUUAGCUUGUUGGCGGGGUAACGGCCCACCAAGGCGACGAUCCGUAGCUGGUCUGAGAGGAUGAUCAGCCACACUGGAACUGAGACACGGUCCAGACUCCUACGGGAGGCAGCAGUAGGGAAUAUUGGACAAUGGGCGCAAGCCUGAUCCAGCCAUGCCGCGUGAGUGAAGAA
RNAcentral lists this ribosomal RNA (407 nucleotides) under uncultured Gammaproteobacteria bacterium. Its description in RNAcentral is "bacterial SSU rRNA". It matches the Rfam family "Bacterial small subunit ribosomal RNA", at positions 9 to 412 of the family's 1533-position model. Lineage: Bacteria; Pseudomonadati; Pseudomonadota; Gammaproteobacteria. The record is from RNAcentral.